Long non-coding RNA from Pygoscelis adeliae (Adelie penguin), 317 nucleotides. RefSeq lists it as uncharacterized. The record is from RefSeq and is a predicted model, not a curated record. The transcript has 2 exons. NCBI's taxonomy places the organism in Eukaryota, Metazoa, Chordata, Aves, Sphenisciformes, Spheniscidae.
GAGCCUCUGGUGUCCCGUGUGUCUGGCCUUCAGGAGGAGCGGGAUGGGACCUUUCCACGCCAUUGGCUUUGGGUGUGCACUGAGUUUGACAGAGGUGGACCCUGGUGCCAGACUCCCCUGAUCGGAGCGGUCCUCACGUGCCGAGGGAUCUCUAUGGAGAGGCACCUGGUUCCAUGGAGGAUGGGAAGGCUGGAGCUGAAAUGCAGGGAGAUGAGAACCCACCUCCCAUCCCUGCAGCGGGGUUUCUACAGCGGCAGGCUGUGUAGAACUCUUGAAAUUGAUUUUCAGAAACACCUGCUGGGAAUAAAUGAUGGAUC